AGAAUCACCACAAAUUGAGAUGAGGCAUUCAAGCGGGCUGGACACACUGACACUCGAGCAGUAGGAUCCCUUGAACUGAAGAAAUGAAUAGGAAGAUACAUGCAAUUUAAGAAGAACAUUCAUCAUUAGUACUUGAAGAGACUUGCCUGGUUGGGGCAGAACAGGAUCUGCUAUAGUGCAUGUUACUUGACUGCUCACUGUACGACUUCAAUAAAAUCAAGGUCUUUUCCUGAUGCAAGAAAAUGUUUUCUUGCUGCAAUGGCUAAAUCUACCACACGGGUCGUUAGCUCUGUUACCGUAACAUUGCACCAUCCUAACACGCGAGGAAAAUAAUUUCACAAGAUUCUCAUAUUAAGUAUCUAUUCAAAGAGGUAUAUGACAAUGUGCGGGAAGGAGAAAUUCACUCGGUAACAACACCGAUGCUACGGCUUGCAUGCUGAGAGUUGAGACCUGGUGAGCUUACUCGUACUAUUGUGUGAUGUGUUAACUUACUUUUGUAGUUUCUAUAUGCCAACAUAUAUCAUGCUGUUUUAUAGUUAGUAGUAUUUCAACAUAAUUUUUCUAUUCAUGCAUUGAAGCAAAACUGCAGUUAGUUGCUACAGAGCUAGGAGAUCUUGGUGUAUAAUAAAAUAUAUUAAUAUGGAGGGGUUCCUUUGUCACCUGAUUUGAUAAGGUAUAUAGUACGGAAGUUUUUUUAUUUCAUAAUCAUAUUCUUGAUGUACUGUUUAACGUAUUUUCUUUUCAGAGAUUUGCCCUUCAAAUUUUCUUGUGAUAGCUAAUUGCCUUUCUGUAAAACUCUUUGUGCGGAUUAGUUGAUAUGAUAAAUGGUCA
Triticum dicoccoides is the source of this 831-nucleotide long non-coding RNA. RefSeq lists it as uncharacterized. The record is from RefSeq and is a predicted model, not a curated record. NCBI's taxonomy places the organism in Eukaryota, Viridiplantae, Streptophyta, Magnoliopsida, Poales, Poaceae. The transcript has 3 exons.